RNAcentral lists this ribosomal RNA (254 nucleotides) under uncultured bacterium. RNAcentral's name for it is "partial 16S ribosomal RNA". It matches the Rfam family "Bacterial small subunit ribosomal RNA", at positions 524 to 776 of the family's 1533-position model. The record is from RNAcentral.
CACGUAGGGGGCGAGCGUUGUCCGGAUUUAUUGGGCGUAAAGAGCUCGUAGGCGGUUUCGUAAGUCGGGUGUGAAAACUCCAGGCUCAACCUGGAGACGCCACCCGAUACUGCGAUGACUUGAGUCCGGUAGGGGAGCGUGGAAUUCCUGGUGUAGCGGUGAAAUGCGCAGAUAUCAGGAGGAACACCAACGGCGAAGGCAGCGCUCUGGGCCGGAACUGACGCUGAGGAGCGAAAGCGUGGGGAGCGAACAGG